GGGUGAGAGCGGCCCCGCCCCCCAUGUGAAGCCCCUUCGACGAGUCGAGUUGUUUGGGAAUGCAGCUCUAAAUGGGUGGUAAAUUUCAUCUAAAGCUAAAUAUCGGCCAGAGACCGAUAGCGCACAAGUAGAGUGAUCGAAAGAUGAAAAGCACUUUGGAAAGAGAGUCAAACAGUACGUGAAAUUGUUGAAAGGGAAGCGCUUGCGACCAGACUUGCCCGCGGGGGAUCAGCCUCCCUUCGGGGGGGUGCACUCCCUCGCGGUCAGGCCAGCAUCGGUUUGGGCGGUCGGAUAAAGGCCCCGGGAACGUGGCUCCUUUCGGGGAGUGUUAUAGCCCGGGGUGCAAUGCGGCCAGCCCGGACCGAGGACCGCGCUUCGGCUAGGAUGCUGGCGUAAUGGUCGUCAGCGACCCGUCUUGAAACACGGACCAAGGAGUCUAACAUCCAUGCGAGUGUUUGGGUGUCAAGCCCAGGCGCGGAAUGAAAGUGAACGGAGGUGGGAACCCCGGGGCGCACCAUCGACCGAUCCUGAUGUCUUCGGAUGGAUUUGAGUAGGAGCAUGGCUGUUGGGACCCGAAAGAUGGUGAACUAUGCCUGAAUAGGGUGAAGCCAGAGGAAACUCUGGUGGAGGCUCGCAGCGGUUCUGACGUGCAAAUCGAUCGUCAAAUUUGGGUAUAGGGGCGAAAGACUAAUCGAACCAUCUAGUAGCUGGUUUCAGCCGAAGUUUCCC
This 729-nucleotide ribosomal RNA is filed under the name Lepra cf. subventosa. RNAcentral's name for it is "LSU rRNA". It matches the Rfam family "Eukaryotic large subunit ribosomal RNA", at positions 210 to 972 of the family's 3401-position model. The record is from RNAcentral. Lineage: Eukaryota; Fungi; Ascomycota; Lecanoromycetes; Pertusariales; Pertusariaceae.